RNAcentral lists this small nuclear RNA (203 nucleotides) under Catharus ustulatus (Swainson's thrush). RNAcentral's name for it is "U2 spliceosomal RNA (ENSCUSG00005002020.1)". It matches the Rfam family "U2 spliceosomal RNA". From Rfam's summary of the family: U2 is a small nuclear RNA (snRNA) component of the spliceosome (involved in pre-mRNA splicing). Lineage: Eukaryota; Metazoa; Chordata; Aves; Passeriformes; Turdidae. The record is from RNAcentral.
UUUGAUCUGCUGGUGUUGGCCUAGUAUAGUAUCUGAUCUUAAAAGUUUAAUAUCUGAUAUGCCCUUAAUAAGAGGAUUUUAUAUUAAACAGGCUAUAUAAUUUUAUAUUAAACUUUGGGGCAUGGAGUUGGACCUGGAGCUUGCUGUCUCUGUUUCAUGCAUUUUCCCUGCAUUGCAGUGACUCUGGGAAUGGUGCACGGACA